GAUUUUUUUUUAUACCUCCCAGAUAGCAAGCAUAGUCGGCCCGAUUCUGGCUGAGUGCUGGCAGUGUCGGCUGAGGUCCGAGUCGGCUGAAGCACAGUAAACACAGUCGGCCCGAUCCUGGCUGAGUGCUGCCACUGUCGGCGGAGUUUCAGGUCGGCUGAGGCACUGUUACCCAUUGAAUGGGCCUACACUGACACGCAGUAGUUGG
Alosa sapidissima (American shad) is the source of this 208-nucleotide long non-coding RNA. RefSeq lists it as uncharacterized. NCBI's taxonomy places the organism in Eukaryota, Metazoa, Chordata, Actinopteri, Clupeiformes, Clupeidae. The record is from RefSeq and is a predicted model, not a curated record. The transcript is spliced from 3 exons.